AUGAACCUCGCCUUCGACCGCGAGCUCAUCAGCCCGUCCAUGUACUUCGGCCUCAUGGGCGACGGCCAGCCCAUCGGACGCUACGAUGACAUGUGGCCGGCUGGCCGCAAAGCUGACAAGGAAUGCGACACCAUGCAGAAGUGCUACAUCUCGCUCUCGCAGCAGGUCAAGGAGAAGCUCGGCAAGAUCGACCCCUACUUCGUCAAGCUCGCCGACGCCAUGGUCACCUGGAUCGAGGCCUGGGACAUGCUCAACUCCAAGGACUCCAAGGAGGACGACGCCAACGGCAAGCUCAAGGGGAAGUAG
This 306-nucleotide ribosomal RNA is filed under the name Triticum aestivum (bread wheat). RNAcentral's name for it is "partial small subunit ribosomal RNA". The record is from RNAcentral. Lineage: Eukaryota; Viridiplantae; Streptophyta; Magnoliopsida; Poales; Poaceae.